RNAcentral lists this ribosomal RNA (2950 nucleotides) under Acinetobacter baumannii. RNAcentral's name for it is "bacterial LSU rRNA". It matches the Rfam family "Bacterial large subunit ribosomal RNA". The record is from RNAcentral. Lineage: Bacteria; Pseudomonadati; Pseudomonadota; Gammaproteobacteria; Moraxellales; Moraxellaceae.
GUUGUAUAGUCAAGUAAUUAAGUGCAUGUGGUGGAUGCCUUGGCAGUCAGAGGCGAUGAAAGACGUGAUAGCCUGCGAAAAGCUCCGGGGAGGCGGCAAAUAUCCUUUGAUCCGGAGAUGUCUGAAUGGGGGAACCCACCUACUUUAAGGUAGGUAUUGCAACAUGAAUACAUAGUGUUGCAAGGCGAACGAGGGGAAGUGAAACAUCUCAGUACCCUUAGGAAAAGAAAUCAAUUGAGAUUCCCUCAGUAGCGGCGAGCGAACGGGGAUCAGCCCAUUAAGUUAUGUGUGUUUUAGUGGAACGCUCUGGGAAGUGCGAACGUAGAGGGUGAUAUUCCCGUACACGAAAGGGCACACAUAAUGAUGACGAGUAGGGCGAGGCACGUGAAACCUUGUCUGAAUAUGGGGGGACCAUCCUCCAAGGCUAAAUACUCCUGACUGACCGAUAGUGAACCAGUACCGUGAGGGAAAGGCGAAAAGAACCCCUGUGAGGGGAGUGAAAUAGAUCCUGAAACCGCAUGCAUACAAGCAGUGGGAGCACCUUCGUGGUGUGACUGCGUACCUUUUGUAUAAUGGGUCAGCGACUUAUAUUCAGUAGCAAGGUUAACCGUAUAGGGGAGCCGUAGAGAAAUCGAGUCUUAAUAGGGCGUUUAGUUGCUGGGUAUAGACCCGAAACCAGGCGAUCUAUCCAUGAGCAGGUUGAAGGUUGGGUAACACUAACUGGAGGACCGAACCCACUGUCGUUGAAAAGCCAGGGGAUGACUUGUGGAUAGGGGUGAAAGGCUAAUCAAGCCUGGUGAUAGCUGGUUCUCCCCGAAAGCUAUUUAGGUAGCGCCUCGGACGAAUACCAUAGGGGGUAGAGCACUGUUUCGGCUAGGGGGUCAUCCCGACUUACCAAACCGAUGCAAACUCCGAAUACCUAUGAGUACUAUCCGGGAGACAGACUGCGGGUGCUAACGUCCGUAGUCAAGAGGAAAACAAUCCAGACCGCCAGCUAAGGCCCCAAAAUCAUAGUUAAGUGGGAAACGAUGUGGGAAGGCAUAGACAGCUAGGAGGUUGGCUUANNNNNNNNNNNNNNNNNGAAGCAGCCACCCUUUAAAGAAAGCGUAAUAGCUCACUAGUCGAGUCGGCCUGCGCGGAAGAUGUAACGGGGCUAAAACUAUGUGCCGAAGCUGCGGAUUUGACAUUAGUCAAGUGGUAGGGGAGCGUUCUGUAAGCCGAUGAAGGUGUAUUGAGAAGUNNNNNNNNNNNNNNNNAUGCUGGAGGUAUCAGAAGUGCGAAUGCUGACGUGAGUAACGACAAAACGGGUGAAAAACCCGUUCGCCGAAAGACCAAGGGUUCCAGUCCAACGUUAAUCGGGGCUGGGUGAGUCGACCCCUAAGGCGAGGCCGAAAGGCGUAGUCGAUGGGAAAAUGGUUAAUAUUCCAUUACUUCUGUGUAAUGCGAUGAGAGGACGGAGAAGGCUAAAUCAGCCUGGCGUUGGUUGUCCAGGUGAAAGGAUGUAGGCAUGUAUCUUAGGCAAAUCCGGGGUACUCUAUGCUGAGAUCUGAUAGCAAGCUGUACUUGUACAGCGAAGUGGUUGAUGCCAUGCUUCCAGGAAAAGUCUCUAAGCUUCAGUUACACAGGAAUCGUACCCGAAACCGACACAGGUGGUCAGGUCGAGUAGACCAAGGCGCUUGAGAGAACUCUGCUGAAGGAACUAGGCAAAAUGGUACCGUAACUUCGGGAGAAGGUACGCUGUUGUUGGUGAUGGAACUCGCUUCCUGAGCUGACGACAGCCGCAGAAACCAGGCCGCUGCAACUGUUUAUUAAAAACAUAGCACUCUGCAAACACGAAAGUGGACGUAUAGGGUGUGAUGCCUGCCCGGUGCUGGAAGGUUAAUUGAUGGGGUUAGCGUAAGCGAAGCUCUUGAUCGAAGCCCCAGUAAACGGCGGCCGUAACUAUAACGGUCCUAAGGUAGCGAAAUUCCUUGUCGGGUAAGUUCCGACCUGCACGAAUGGCAUAAUGAUGGCGGCGCUGUCUCCAGCAGAGGCUCAGUGAAAUCGAAAUCGCUGUGAAGAUGCAGUGUACCCGCGGCUAGACGGAAAGACCCCGUGAACCUUUACUGCAGCUUGACACUGAACUUUGACCUUACUUGUGUAGGAUAGGUGGGAGGCUUUGAAGCUGGAACGCUAGUUCCAGUGGAGCCGUCCUUGAAAUACCACCCUGGUAAUGUUGAGGUUCUAACUCUGUCCCGUGAUCCGGGACGAGGACCGUGUCUGGUGGGUAGUUUGACUGGGGCGGUCUCCUCCUAAAGAGUAACGGAGGAGUACGAAGGUGCGCUCAGCGUGGUCGGAAAUCACGCGUAGAGUAUAAAGGCAAAAGCGCGCUUAACUGCGAGACCCACAAGUCGAGCAGGUACGAAAGUAGGUCUUAGUGAUCCGGUGGUUCUGUAUGGAAGGGCCAUCGCUCAACGGAUAAAAGGUACUCUGGGGAUAACAGGCUGAUACCGCCCAAGAGUUCAUAUCGACGGCGGUGUUUGGCACCUCGAUGUCGGCUCAUCUCAUCCUGGGGCUGAAGCAGGUCCCAAGGGUAUGGCUGUUCGCCAUUUAAAGAGGUACGCGAGCUGGGUUUAGAACGUCGUGAGACAGUUCGGUCCCUAUCUACCGUGGGCGCUGGAAAUUUGAGAGGAUCUGCUCCUAGUACGAGAGGACCAGAGUGGACGAACCUCUGGUGUACCGGUUGUGACGCCAGUCGCAUCGCCGGGUAGCUAUGUUCGGAAGGGAUAACCGCUGAAAGCAUCUAAGCGGGAAGCCUACCUCAAGAUAAGAUUUCCCUAGGACUUUAUGUCCUCUAAAGAGCCGUUCGAGACUAGGACGUUGAUAGGUUGGAUGUGGAAGCAUAGUGAUAUGUGAAGCUGACCAAUACUAAUUGCUCGUGAGGCUUGACUAUACAACACCCAAGCAGUUG